CCCACUAACGUCAAUACAUCCAAAGCGAAGCCACAAAAUAAGGCUCAAUCAGAUACCCCAAAUAAGGCUCCUAUUCUCUUUCAUUUUGAACACAGAGGAUAAAACUCCCCAACCCAGAUGCUCUCCCCAAAUCCCUAAAUCCAACGUCAGUGAUUUUUGCUAUGUAAGUUUUUUUGACGCCUUUUUUUUAAUCUUUUUCUACUAUCCUUGAUUGUGUUAAUAUCUGUUCUUCAAUUAGAAGAUCGUCUUGGUUUUUGUCGAUCAUUUUGGUAUUAUUAUUACCCUUUCUCUCUAUUUCUUUCUUGGUAUUUGAUAAUGGAUGCUUAGAUAUUAUUUUUACCGUUGCUUUUAUUUUGUUAAACAUCUUGUCUUAUUGUUUAGUUCCUUUACUUUGUUCAUCUGUUUGGUGCUUGUUAUUGAUAUUGCUGGAAUGGUUAAAGUUUGGAUCUUUUUUACAUUAUCUUUGUGGAAUUUAUUCUGAUAUGAUAAUAGAUGCUUAGAUAUUUUUAUCGUAGCUUUUAUUUUGUUGAACUACAUAUCCUAGUGUCUAGUCCCAUUACUCUGUUCCAUAUGUUUGGUGCUUGUUUUUGUUGUUGUUGAUGCUGGUAUGAUUAAAGGUUGAAUCCUUUUUUACAUUUUUGUGGAAUUUUGUGUUAUAUGAUCUAUAUGUACCAUGAAAACAACUUCUUAUAGAAAUGCAGCGUGCAAUAGGCCCUUGUGGUCCAGCCUUUCCUCGGACCCCGCACAUAGCGGGAGCUUAGUGCACCGGGCUGCCCCUUUUUAUUUUUUAUGAUCUAUAUGUAAGAGUUAUACUCGAAUUGCUUGAAAAGCUGCAUGCUUUUGACGGCUUUUUCAACAACAAUUUUUGGGCUUGUUCUGCUUUGUCUUUAAAGUUUCUACCAUGUUGGUUUGAAGAAAUAUAUUGGUUUGAAGAAUUAUCUCUGUGCCAUCUGCUUGGUGCUUGUUAUUGUUAUGGUUAAAGUUUGGAUAUUUUUACAUGUCUUUUUGGAAAUUGUUGUUGUAUGAUCUUAUGUGUAAAAGUUCCACAUGAAUGUGCUUGCAAAGCUGCCUGCCUGCUCUCACCAAAUAAUUUUUGAGCUUAUUCUGAUUUACUACUAAAGAUAUUGUGUUGUUGGUUUGAAGAUCUAUCUAUGCUUAUUGGUGAUGAGUAUAUUUACUUAAGUUGGGAAAACCAUUAUUGCUUCAUAUGCUUUCUCAAAGAAAACCUUCAGUCUUGAAACUCUUGAUCUUUCUACUAUUGUUUGACCUUUAAGUACUGCUUUUCUAAAUGCAUAUCAGUUUUCUUUGAAAAUGCAAACUUUGAUUGACUAUAGUGCAUUACUGGUCCCCUACCAUCUAUUGAUAUGUUGUUUAACAUAAUUAUCAAUUAUCUGUCUCUAUGGAUUUACUUUUCUUGCUUUUCUCAACUUUCUUCAUUGUUUGCAAGUGAAAUUGGAAAAAGAUAAUUGAGCCAAUUCUUAGCAUAUAUACUAAUUUUGCCUUUUUCAUAGAAAUGCUACUUCAACUGGGUCCUUUCACAAUUUUGCUUUCAUCUGUUGGGAACUAAGACAGUUGGCUACUUAUGUUAUGCUGAUGCUGAAUAGUACUCAUUUUGUUUGAUUUUACCUAUUAUAUUUAGCCCACUUUCUUUUUGCAUCUCCACACCAUUUAAGAAAGAUUGACAAUGCUACACUGAAGGGUUUAAGUUAUGUAAUUUACCUCUGAAUAUUUUUAUUCAAAUUAUUAAAAAAUCAAUUACACGUGAUUGUCCAAUUAUUUUAAUCAUAAGAGUUAUAUCCGGGGUGUGAAAAUUUCAGUGAACUAAGUUUUACUAUUCAAUUGUACUUGCUUAAAUCCUUGCAUGGGUUCAGUAAUGUGGCUUUCUCGGAUUUGUUAGAGUUUAUAAAAUUACCAAGAACGUCGUUACACGAAUUCAACGUCUCAACCCCGAUUUGAGACUUGAUCCUCACAUACUAAUCUUCUGUGCUCGUGCACCUGGAGAAGCUUCCUCUCCACACCAAGCUGAUAUUCAACCAAUCAAUUUUCCAUCUGAUGGUAGUAACAAUCAAGGUCAGUCCAUACCAUAUGUUACACGUCUUCUCUUUCCUCUUCUUCUCCUUUUUUUUUGUUGCUUAUUCUACCACUGCGCUCUCUCUCUCUCUCUCUCUCUCUCUCUCUCUGGCAAUGUUUGUUUUACUAGUUUUAAAGGAGAUUUAUAGUGGAGAAAGAGGGGUUGUUUGUGGAGUCAUUUUAUGGGAGUGUAGUUGAGGCAUUGGUUUACUUGACAUUAUUUGACUGUAGUUGAGGCGUUGUAGCAUAUAUGAAUCUGAUAUGUCUUCUCCGACAAUUUGGAAAUAGAGGAAUUGAAGAAUCUUCAGGGAGGGAAAAGGAACCUAGGGAGCAUAAACUAUAAAAAGUUAGUUUCUGUUUCUUUUAAGGUGUAAAGUAAACUAGUAUUAUCUUUCAUAGAUAAUUGGGUUAACUUGGUGAAAGAUCAUGGUUAAUUCGUGUAGGGUUUGGAAAAUUCUUUUGGCAUUGUGUCAGUGCAUUAUUAAUGAAAUUAUCCUGAUCUAAAGAAGAAACUUAAAGCCCAAAAUGAAGUAAAGAUGUUUGCAGAUGGGCUGACUUUCUUGUGAAAAAUGGAAAUUCUAUCAAAAUUAUGUGGUUUUACUUUGAUUAAUAAAGUAUUUCUGAAAUAAAAUUGAGGUAUUAGUGGACUACAUAUUGGUUCUAUUUUUCCAUGUUCUUUUUUGGGAACUUAGAGUUACACACCAAUAAGAUGGAAGGAUUUGAUAUUGCACCCAUAAACUCAGUAGAAUUUGAAAAAAAAAAACUUUAUGUAAGUAGGAUGUCAUUUUGUAUUUUUGGUUGUGCUUUGUGAUGCCUUUUGGUCAUCCUCAGGCACAUGUCAUCUUCAUCAUGUUACUUACAUGCUUAUGUAGAUCAAAAUCUAUGCUUGUUGAAAAUACAUUUGGCAAAAUGUGGAACAGAGUUAUACUAGAGAGGACUAAGCCUUAGCGGAACUGUCUUUUUUUUUUUUUUUACACUUUUGGAGGACCUACAGUAUUUCAAUUAGUAUUAGUGACUAAUGCUUUUUGUUGAGAAUCAUAUUUUUGUCUAAAGCUCUCUAUUUUCUGUAUACAAUCCUAUAAGCAUGUUUUGCCUAUCACAUUAAUAAAAGAAUUAACUUCAUUUUAAAGAAAAGCAUUUUGGCAAAAGAACUUUCAGAACACACUUUAGACAUAUACUAUCCAAAUAAAAAUACUAGGUUCAGUCAUUUGGAAGUAAAAGAAGAAAAAAUGAUUGUGAUUGCGUGAAGUUCGAAGGCUUAGGAGUCGGCUAUUUUGCUGCAUUUUUGGGUGAUUUUUACAGCUGUUUUGCUGCGUUUUUUUGUUGUUACUACACUUGCAUUAGGUCCGGCAUUUAGAAGUUUAAUCCUUUAUGAUAAACAUUUAUGCAAGAGAGUAGUUCAUCGGCAAAUUCAAAUUGAAUUGUAUGAUGAUUACAGUCUGAGAUUCGUAUUAACGAAAUAUGUCGUUUAGUGUACUCAGUUACCUCUCCUACUUGUCAUGUGUUUUGUCUUUUUGUUGAGAUUUGUCAAGACCCAAAACAACCGUCGUGAUGACGCAUAUCGUGGAACUAGGCAAGCCAAUUACUCAACUAUUCCAACAUAACCAAAAGCUUUGAAACAAAAUACGGAAGCAGUUAAUAUUUAAGGAAAAUCUUUAAAACAUAAAUAAAUACGCAACCCAAUACAAUCUCUCCCUAAACCGGGAUGUUACCGAGUACAUGAGCUUCUACAAUGGAAGAUAGUCAAAUACAGUGUCUAAAGAGUAAAAAAAACUGAAAUACAAGUAAAGAUAAUGAAGGAGGGUCAAGGUCUGCGAAAGUCAUGCAGCUACCUCGAUAGUCUCUCGAGAUCAUGACUCCACAAUGAGCAACCGCCGUGACUGGAAGCACCUGGAUAUCCACACGAGGUGCAGGGUGUAGCGUGAGUACAACCAUUGUCACGAUAGAAAAUGCUGAAGCUGCAAUGGUCCUACCUUAAAGGACUCCGAAGAUCACAGUACAAUUGAAACCUACGGUGAUAGUUCAGACUUACCAGUAACAGCCUACUGCUGCUACCAUGGAUGAAAAGGAUCGGGAAUACAAAGCAGUCCCGUGGACAUAUCAACAAAAAGGGAAAGCCAAUAUGACGGAUUCCGCAGCGGCUCACGGCAUGACUAGGCCAGGGAGGUGUUACGCUCUUGAGGAUAUAAACCGAGGGAAUCUAGGAAGGGUACGGAUUCAGAGAAGAAAUAUAACAGAUCUGAAGGCCGUAGAAUUUUGGAAGAAGAUGUCAACCAAAGAAUACUCCGUUAGGAGCAACUGAAGAAAACCCCGCACAAAUAUCAAUCAUGGAUUUACUGAUGAGUUCUGACAGUCAUAAAGAUGCCCUGAUGAAAGUGUGAAGUGGGGUGAGCGUACUGAGCAAUAACAUAAGUGAGGCACUGGUAACAACAAUUGGGAAAAUGGUCGAAGCAAAUAUGAUCACUUUCCGAAGAGAUGAGCUUCCUAUCUAAGGCGUGGGUCAGAACAAAACUCUACACAUCACUGUCAAAUGUGGAGAUAAGGUGGUGUCCCCAGUACUGAUUGAUGGAGGAUCAGGAUUCAAUAUCUGCCCGCUCUCUACUCUGUGAGAGUUGCAUAUCCAUCUAAGAGAAGUCAAGGAAUGUCAUGCGAGGUUAAGGGCUUUUGACGGGUCGCAAAAGGAUGUCAUUGGAGAAAUUUAUUUGGCACUGCAGAGUGGACCAAUUGAGUUUCCCAUACUAUUCCAAGUGAUGUAUAUUUCAUCUUCAUAUAACUUAUUACUAGGAAGACCUUGGAUACACAUGGAGGGGGCAGUACUAUCUACCCUACACCAAUGUAUGAAGUUCGAAUGGGGGUGUCAACAGAUCGUAGUCCACGACGAAUGGAGCCAAUCAGCUUAUCUGGAACACACAGUCCCGUUCAUAGAAGGAUUAGACGGGGUCGCUUUCCAUGCAGUAGAGUUCAUGCAGACCACCGAAAUAGAAGAGACUAAGCAAAACCUAAGAAUGCAGUCAUCAUAUAGAUCAAAGAUGGCCAUGAGGAAAAUGAUGAAAUACAGAUACAGUCCAAGAACCGAGCUGGGAGCCCAAUCAGACAGGAUAAUAGAGCUGAUUGAGCCAUAUGGGCAGAAAGGAAGAGUCGGCCUACGGUAUCAGCCAUCGACUGAGAAGGCGUGUAUCGGUAGCUUCGGGAAAAAGGAGAUUUUAUGCCAGAGCGUUUAUCGGGUACGUGUUAGAGCUCAGUGCCAGAUGACGACAUCGUCGAUGGAAUGGAAAGGCUGUUCGUGACCAUACUUGAGGAAUGUUGUGAAGGAAUUUAUAUUAUGUCACCGACCAUUCGGGAAUCUGAACUAGGAGAGGACUUGCAGAAUUCGACUGUUAGCCCGUCAUUGGUUCGCCAAGAGUCUUGGUAGUGUGGAAUUAUAAAUGUUUUGAAAAGAGCGCACGGUCAAUUGAGGCUCGGACCGUGUCUGUAGUUUUUUGUUAUUUGCCUCUUUGAACGCUCAGACGUUGCUCUUUUGAUGAAAGAAAAGAAUUGCUUUCUUAAAAUUAUUGCAAAUUUAUUUAUUGCUUCAUUUAUACUUUGUUUUUCUUUUCAGUAAUCAAAACGAUAAAAACCUGCAUUCGCGAUUAUGACAUAUAACGAAACCCUCGAGCAAAGCGAUCCAACUUACGAGGAGUACGAUGAGAGUAUGAUGCCAGAUAAUCUCCCAAGAGAGAUCGAACAACUGGAAAGCCAGAGAAAGCCUAAGCUUGAAGAGACAGAAGUGGUCAACCUCGGAAGCGAAGAAGAUAUAAAAGAAACCCGAAACAACAUCCAUCUAGAAGUAGAGCAGAAUGAAGAAUUGGUUAAGCUCCUCCGAAGUACAUUGAUAUAUUCACAUGGUCGUAUGAUGACAUACCUGGGUUAAGUACUGAUAUUGUUCGCACCGAUUGCCUAUCGAUCAUGCUAGACCACCAGUCAAACAAAAACCCAUAAAAUUCAAACUAGACUUGAGUUUAAGGAUAAAGGAAGAAGUAACCAAGCAAAUAGAGGUGAAUGUAGUGAGGGCAAUAAAUUAUCCCACAUGGUUGGCGAAUAUCGUCCCAGUGCCCAAGAAGGAUGGAAUGAUCAAGAUAUGUGUAGAUUAUCGAGAUUUCAACAAAGCCAGCCUAAAAGACAAUUUCUUUUUACCUAAUAUACAUAUCCUCAUCGACAAAUACGUGAAGCAUGAACUGCAUUCGCUCGUGGAUUGUUUCUCUGGGUACCACCAGAUCCGGAUGCACGAAAAAGAUGCAGAAAAGACAGAUUUUACUACACCUAGGGGAGUCUACUGCUAUAGAUUCAUGCCCUUCGGUCUCAAAAAUACUGGCGCUACUUACAUGAAGGCCAUGACAACCCUCUUUCACGACAUGAUUCACAAAGAGAUCGAGGAAUAUGUGGAUGACAUCAUCAUCAAGUCUCGGAAGAGUUCAAAACAUUUUGAUGAUAUUAGGAAGUUUUUCGAACGUUUGUGGAGGUAUAGUUUGAAGUUGAAUCCUGCAAAAUGCGCAUUCGGAGUCCCUGUUGGAAAAUUGCUAGGUUUCAUCAUUAGCAAAAAAGGGAUAGAGUUAGAUCCCUCAAAGAUCAAAGCUAUUCAAGAGUUGCCACCGCCCAAAAGUAAGAAGGAUGUGAUGAGUUUCAUGGGUAGAUUGAAUUACAUCAGCCGUUUCAUAGCCGAGUCUACAGUAAUUUGUGAACCUAUCAUUAAGCUGUUGAAGAAACAUGCUGCCACAAAAUAGACAGAAGAGUGUCAGAAAGCCAUCAACGGAAUUAAGGAGUAUUUGUCAAAUCCGCUAGUGUUGGUUCCUCCCGGGCCUAGGAAGCCACUGUUGCUGUGCCUGCCGGUCUUGGACAAUAUUUUGGAUGUGUUGGGACAACAUGACGAAAGCGGAAGACAGAGUAGGCCAUCUACAACUUAAGCAAGAAAUUCACACCGUGUAAGGCCAAAUACACUUUGAUUGAGCGCACUUACUGUGCUUUGACUUGGAUCGCCCAGAAACUGAGGCAUUACAUGUUAGCAUACACCACGCAUUUGAUAUCCUGACUCGACCCGCUCAAGUAUAUCUUUCAGAAGCCAAUGCCUAUAGGAAAACUAGCUAAAUGGAAAAUUCUUCUCAGCGAAUUUGACAUUGUGCACAUAACACAGAAGGCCAUCAAAGGAAAAGCUUUAGCCAACCACCUUGUAGAGAAUCCAGUGGACAAGGAUUAUGAGUUGCGCACUGUGUACUUUCUCGACGAGGAAGUAUUGUUUGCCGGAGAAGAUAUUGCAGAGUCAUACCUUGGAUGGAGAAUGUUCUUCGACGGAGCGGCAAACUUCAAAGGAGUGGGAAUUAGGGAUGUCCUAAUUUCGGAAUCAGGACAAAACUAUCCAGCAUCAGCAAAGAUAAGGUUCCCUUGCACCAAUAAUAUGGUCGAAUACGAAGAGUGCAUCAUUGGGAUCAAGAUGGCAGUUGACAUGAACAUCAAAGAGCUCUUGGUCAUAGGGGAUUAUGAUCUAUUAAUACAUCAAGUCCAAGGGGAGUGUUCUACCAAGAAAGUUAAGAUCCUUCCAUACCUGCACUGUGUAAAAGAGUUAUGCAUGAAGUUCACAAAGCUCGAGUUUAAGCACGUUCCCAAGAUCCAUAAAGAGUUUGUCGAUACUCUUGCAACCCUAUCAUCCAUGAUUUAGCAUCUAGAUAAGAAUUACAUCGACCCUAUUGAGGUAAAAACCAGAGAUCAACAUGCAUACUACUUUCAUAUAGACGAAGAGCCAGAAUGUUGACCGUGGUACCACGAAAUGAAAAGGUUCCUCGAAACAUGAGAGUACCCAGAGAGUGCUACAGAUAGUCAAAAGUGAGCGCUCAGAAGGCUGGCAAAUCACUUUUUCCUCGACGAGGAAGCCCUGCAUAAAAUGACCCCAAACUUUGGUCUGUUGAGAUGUGUAGAUGCCGCUGAAGCAACCAAAUUGUUAGAAGAAAUACAUAUGGGAACAUGCAGACCCCACAUGAACGGCUUCACCUUAGCCAAGGGGAUUUCACGGGGAUUUCAUCUGGGUUCCGCCUAAUGAGUUCAAUGUAAUGGGUUCGCGUUGGCCGCUCGCCGCUGUGAUUGGACCUAUAGAGCCCGCCACAUAAAAUGGGCACCGUUUCAUCUUAGUAGUCAUUGACUGCUUCACCAAAUGAGUCGAAGCAUCUACCUACAACACAGUCAUAAAGAAAGUGCUGGCAGAUGUUGUUCGUAACAACAUCGUCUGCCGAUUUGGGAUACCUGAGUCAAUCAUCACUGACAAUGCAGAUAAUGUCAACAGUGAUCUCAUGAGAGAAAUUUGUGAGAAGUUCAGAAUUGUCCAGCGCAACUCUACAGCCUACAGCUACAAAUGAAUGGAGCAGUUGAACCAGCCAACAAAAACAUCAAAAGGAGUCUGCGGAAGAUAGUGGACAAUAAUAGGCAAUGGCACGAGAAGUUAUCCUUCUCCUUACUAGGUUAUCGAACCACCACGAGGAUAUCCACUGGGGAAAUGCCAUACCUAUUGGUAUAUAGAACCGAAGUAGAGCGUUCUCAAGGCUGUUAGAAAAGUAUGGAGUUCGCCAUAAGGUUGCCACACCUUACCACCCGCAAAUGAACGGGCAAGUGGAAGUGUCCAAUAGGGAAAUCAAAAGUGUCCUGACCAAGACAGUGAAUGCGACUCGGACUAAUUGGGCAAGGAAGUUGGAUGAUGCGUUAUGGGCUUACCGCACAACAUUUAAAACUCUAAUUGGUAUGUCUCUGUAUAAGUUGGUGUUUGGAAAAGCAUGCCAUCUUUCGGUGGAGCUUGAGCAUAAAGCCUUAUGGGCACUGCGGCAGUUGAAUUUGGAUAUGGAAACCGCGGGCACAAGUAGACCUACAGAAUUACAUGAACUCGAGGAGUUCCCAUUCCAGGCAUUUUAGUGUCACGCCCCGACCUCGGUCGAGCAAGACUGUACAAUACCUUCUACCCAAACUUACUCAUAAAUAAAGAGAAGAUCUAUUUCAUUAAUUAGACAGUGAGGAGACUCAUGUGAACAACAACACCAAUUCAUUAUCAGCAGUUUCAUCAGCUAUAAGUUAUAAAAUACAUACACUUUCAUAGUUUUGUGCGGAACGUGUGAUGCAGUUACCAAAAUUACUAGUUUAUCUUUCUCAACACCGACAUACCACCCACACAAUAUCUACGGAGCCUCUAAUAGAUACAAAAGAGUAUGAUGAUAGUGCCGACAAUAAGGCCCCGGAUAUACCUCAAAACAUAAUACAUAAGGACAAAAUUUAUACGAUCCCGAAUGAGGUGGGGCUCACCAAGUCAGCUGGGGAGAGGGUGUACCGCUAUCAACGAUCAAAGCCGCCUGCUGUGGAACCACCUGCAUCCGUUUAAGACGCAGCGCCCCCGGCAAAAGGGACGUUAGUACAUGUGGAAUAGUACUAGUAUGAAUGAGUAAGCACCCUCUCAAUAGAACGAAUGAUGAAACAAGAAUGAACAAUCAUAAAAUCAAUGGGAAGUCUCAAACAAUACCCAAAACAUCAAGUUAGGAAUAAGACAAGGUUUCAAGUGAUUUCCAUAUUUUAAGUUGGGAGACCUUUAGUAUCGAUAUUCCAUCGUUUACAAUUUCCAACAUAGUCACCACCAUGUCUGCGGCAUGGCGUCUGAUCACAACCCGAUUGGCUAGGCCGUCUCAUACGAGACAUCAACCACAAUCACAAUUUCAAUUUCAAUUUCCAACACAAUCACCACCAUGUGUGCGGCAUGGCGUCCGAUCACGACCCGAUCGGCUAGGCCGCUGCAUCCGAGACAUUGUCCUCUUCUAUCAAUCAUCCCAUUUCAUACCUCUUUCACAUCUUUUUAUUUCAUUGGCACUAGUGGUCACAAUUGUAAUAUCCCCCUUUUGUGUGGCGUGUUGGCCAUAUUUCAUAUUUUAUAUUUUGUGCUUACCUUUUCACUUUCAACCAUCAUCAUUGAUUUUCAACAAGGCGUUUACGUUCAAGUCACUAAGCAUACAAGUUAGCAAACAAGAGUCUUAAGUGCAUUGAGAUUUCUUACACAAUUGGCAUUCGCUAUAAUUUGAAACGCAACAUGAGGCCAUAACAUUUAGCUAAGCAACCAAUAUUUUGAACACAUUACCAAAUAGUAGUACAACUUAACAAGAGCAUUGGGAAUACAUAUUGAACACAAAAGUCUUUUGACACAAAGUUUAUUCGGAAAAAUCGAUUCAUAAUGAGUAACUUGGGAAUUACAAUGACAUUGUGCGGUUCAAUUCUAUGGGAAGAGUUUAGCCAACAUACCUCACUUGAUCUUCCUUAAAUACUAAAAUGUUCCGAAAAUUAUAGCAACUUCGAUCUAUUUCAGAAUUAUAACAAAUUGAACCAAAAAUUAGGAAGAUGAUCAUGGUUCCAGCUCAUUUGAGCGUUUUAUCAAACACUAGGUGUGCAUUAAGAUUUCAAGGCCCUACAAUGGUGGAUUCCAUCAUCCACCCGUUAUCUACCAUUUUUAGCCCAAUAAUCGUCCUACACCCUUAGAUAACACAUGCAUGCAAGAGGGACAACUACCAUACCCAAGAAUUUCCUUACUAAUUACCUAUUUUUAGUUAAAUUUCGAAAUUGAGGGUUAGGGUAUAGAAUCUUACCUCUAGGAUGAAGACCUAGUAUUUUUUCCUUGUUAAUCUUCCAAGAUUUGAGUAAGAAUUGAAGAACAAUUAGUUGAGGAACUCUCUCCCUCUCUAGAGCACUUUCUCACUCUCAAAAUGUCAGGUUCUUAUUUAAGAAACGGUCCAUGGAGUCUAUAUAACGAAAUGGGGUCGGGUUAUAAAAACCAAAAAAAUGAAGCUCUGAAACACAAUCUGCGGUCGCAUAAUAAUUUUGCGGUCCGCGAAAUGGACCGCGAAAUGGCCCUCUGGAACUGGGCAUCGCUGCCUGGGUAUGCGGCUGUUCUGCGGUCCGCAUAUCGAUUAUGCGGUGCAAAGCGGACCGCAGAAUCUCCUCCCAGAAUUCCUCAUGUCGAUCCUGCGAUGCAAUCUGUGGACCGCAUAAUGGCCCACAAAUUUUGCUUCAGUUUCAACUUCACUCUGUGGCCAUUCUGCGACCGCAUAGUGGGCCGCAGAAAUGUUUUUUUCUGCCAACAUUUUCCUUUAACUCCCUAGCGCACUGUUCAACCCAAAAAGUCCGUACCGCGGCGAGCAAGCUCGUUGCGAAGAACUUCUACCAUCACCAAACAUAUUAGCCUACCUCGUUACCACGGAACCUCGGGUUUUAGGUGAAAUUUUAUAGGGACUUAUAUCCUCCCCCACUUAAGAUCAUUCAUCCUCGAAUGAGGGUCUAAAUCCGUCAUUAGUACUCAACAUGACCCAGCUGUUACUUCACACACACUAGUAGUCCCAAUUUUUGACUAACUCCCCAAAUUCCCAAAAUGUUCGGCAGAGUUUCCCUUGUAACUGGCCUAUCCACCUGUCAGAGAAUCCCAGAAACCAAUCCUAACAACAUGUACAUAAUCCAACGAUGCAACAUAUUAUGAAACAACACCAACCGUGGCCUCAUAAGCAAUAUAUUCCCAGAAAGGAAAUAUCCUGCCUGUACAAGUGAUACCUAGUUCAUAGGAAUUAAUUUCAUGGAAACUAUUACAUAGCUAUUCAAAUAAAUGAGGGUACUUCUUUUUCAUUUCUUCCUCGGCCUCCCAGGUGGCCUCUUUAACCUGUUGGUUUCGCCAUAACACUUUCACGGAGGCAAUUUCUUUAUUUCUUAGAUUUCGGACUUGCCUAUCAAGAAUGGCAACUGAAAUUUCUUCAUAGGUCAGUUCUUCAUAUACCUCAAUAGUCUCUACUAGCACAAUAACCGACGGAUCUCCAACCACCUUCUUUAACAUAAACACAUUGAAUACCGGGUGCACUAAUGACAUCUCAGGUGGUAGCUCAAGCUUGUACGCCACCUGACCAAUCCUUUGAAUGUUUAUGUACGGUCCGACAUACCCCGGACUCAAUUUCCCUUUCUUACCAAACCGCAUUAUACCCUUCAUGGGGGAAACCUUCAAGAAUACCCAAUCAUCUUCUUUGAACUCCAAAUAUCUGCGACGAACGUCCUUAUAGGACUUUUGACGACUCUGAGCUUUUUUCAACCGAUCCUUAAUGACCUUAACCUUCUCCAUAGCCUGGUGCAUGAGGUCUGGUCCUAUCGAUUCUGCUUCCCCAAUAUCGAACCACCCAAUAGGAGAUCUACAUCUCCUACCAUAUAAAGCCUCGAAUGGUGCCAUCUGAAUACUAGCAUGGUAACUGUUGUUGUAGGCAAAUUCUAUGAGUGGCAAAUGAUCGUCCCCGCUGCCCUUGAAGUCAAGAACACAAGCGCGCAACAUAUCCUCAAGCGUCUGAAUAGUCCGCUCUGCCUGCCCGUCAGUCUACGGGUGAAAGGUUGUACUAAGAUUCACCUGAGUACCCAAACCUUGCUGAAAUUUCUUUCAAAAAUUAGCCGUGAACUGUGCCCCUCGAUCCGAAAUGAUAGAAACUAGAGUGCCAUGCAACCUGACUAUUUCCUUGAUAUACAACUGAGCAUAUUGUUCCGCUGUGUCGGUAGAUUUAACUGGCAAGAAGUGUGUUGACUUCAUGAGUCGAUCCACAAUCACCCAAAUCGAGUCGAAUUUGCGAGGAGUGCGAGGUAGUCCUACCACAAAGUCCAUGUUAAUCAUUUUCCACUUCCACAUUGGAAUUUCAAUGCUCUACGCCAACCCACCGGGCCUUUGGUGUUCGGCCUUCACUUGCUUACAAUUGGGACAUCUUUCCACAAAGUCCGCUAUGUUCAUCUUCAUAUCGUUCCACAAAUAGACUUCUCUAAGAUCAUGAUACAUCUUUGUAGAGCCAGGUGCACGGAAUACCUAGAAGUUUGAGCCUCAGUCAUGAUUCUUUAACGGAGAUCAUCAACAUUUGGAACACAUAGUCGCCUUUGGAACCUUAGUGUACCAUCAUCCAUGCCAAGAGAAAAGGCCAUGGUCUUAUGUUUUUGAACCCCCGCCUUCAAUUGUACCAACAAUAGAUCGUUGAAUUGCUUCUCUUUGACUUCCACCACAAGCGACGAUUCAGCCCUAUUUUGCACACUCACCCCUCCUUCACUAGAGUCCGCAAGGCGAACUUCUAAACUAGCCAACCGAUGAACCUCCUUAGCCAACGGCCUUUGAUAUGCCUCCAAGUAAGCAAAACUGCCCAUAGAUUUUCGGCUAAGAGUAUCCGCCACAACAUUGACCAUCCCCGGGUGAUACAGGAUGUCGAUGUCAUAAUCCUUGAGUAACUCAAGCCAUCUUCUUGUUACACCCCAUAUUUUCGUAUGUGGAAGUUCGCCAUAAAUAAAUUGAUGAAAGCUCGAAAAUGAGAUGUUACAUCCCGCAUUUUUUUUGUACAUUAAAGUUUUGUCGUAAGUUAAUCGAUGUAAGCUCGAGAAUGAGAUUAUUUUGAGAUUAUAAGUAUUAUGUUAUUUCAAACAAGGGAUAAGUAAAUUCAUGAAGGCGAGAGGGUAAGCGAAUCGAAGAAAAUAAAUUUCGUCGAAGUUUGACAUUUUGGGAUAUAAUACGGCCCGAGCUAAAAUACCCGAUAUUUAUGGACUAGUGCCAUACAAGGUACCACAUGACCAUGAUAGUAAGAUGUAUAAAGUAUGACAAAAGUGAGUAGUAUUUUAAGUAAUUUGAGAUAAUUCUUAAUUAUGUGGAUUUUUGGUUAAUUGCGGAUUUUUGAUGGAAGAUUAACCAUGUAAUUAAGGAAAUGGGUGGAUAAACUUUGGAUAAGCUUAAAUCCACCCCAACGUGGCAGCAACCCAUGUCUAAAGUAAUGACUAUUGAAUUACAAAACAAGGUGUCAUAUUUAGAGGAAAUUGUUGGCCAAGUAAGCCUUAUAAAGUGGGUCCUACAUCCAUUAUAAUAAAAGACAUCUCUAACAAAGAGAGAUACAUCUCUAACAAAGAGAGAUGAUAUGAAAUGUGAGAUUUCCAUAAGAAAUUUUCAGCAAGGUUCAUUCCCCAUUUCAAAAAUGAAAGUAUACUAUGCACUUAGCCCUAAAAAACAUGGAAAGAAUGACUAUGUUAGUCAUCUUUACAAUUGUAUUCAAUUGAUAUCAAAAAUCCAUUUUUGGAGGAGAUUUUGGAGUUCAUAUGGUACUUUAUGUUAAAAUAGCAACGACAGUUCUUAAAAUUGUGAAGAAAUUCAUACGAAAUUAUACUGCGUAAUAGUGACGGGAUUUUGCGAUUCUAAAGGAGUACGGUGCAACCUUUUCCAAGAAUAUCAUAUGAAUUUUUUCCUACUCCAUGUAUGUUAAGGCUAUCCCUUAUUUCUUUUGGCAUGAUCCAUAUGACACAAACGAAACGAGAAAAUGCACAAUUUUCAUAUACGACUCUAUUCAUAGAAAUAUUAGAGAUGCUUAUGUUCUUGAUUCCCCACGUGUCAUGUUAUUUUAUNNNNNNNNNNNNNNUNAGUCAUUUACUCUAUAUUUCUUCCAUGUCUAUUUUGUACUUAUUUAUGUGCCUUACAUACUCGGUACAUCAUUUGUGCUGACGUCCCUUUUGUCUGGGGACACAACGUUUUAUUUGCUAUCAAAUACACCACCACUUGACACAUUUCAUUUCAUAGACAGGUCGAGAGUCCUCCAAAUAGGCUAUCAGCUCAGCGGAAGGUUUUGCUGCGCUCCAUUUGCUCCGGAGUUGCUUAUGUGGUCAAUAUGAUUAGGACAUGUACUGAUUAGUAUGUCGGGGCCGUGUCCCGACCUUUAUGACAUUUAUGUACUCUUAGAGGUUUGUAGACAUAUGUCGAAUACGUGAAAGAUUGUACGGCCUUGUCGGCCUAUGUUUUGAGUUUAUAAAUGAUCAUGUUGGCCUAUUAGGCCCGUAUGUCACAUGUAUAUGAUGAUGUAAUAAGAAAGAUACGUUACGUUGGUACUCGGUUGAGUAAGGUACCGGGUGCCCGUCGUGGCCCAUCGGUUUGAGUCGUGACACUUCUCUGCCUCAAAUUCAAUUCCUUCUGUUUGAAAAUAUAUUGAAGGCUCUUAUGGUCCGUGAA
RNAcentral lists this long non-coding RNA (15097 nucleotides) under Nicotiana tabacum (common tobacco). Its description in RNAcentral is "long non-coding RNA (NTAB_LNC005324)". The record is from RNAcentral. Lineage: Eukaryota; Viridiplantae; Streptophyta; Magnoliopsida; Solanales; Solanaceae.